AACGCACGAGACCUGCGGACCUGCGGAGGGAUCAUUCACAAUGUACUCUUUUUUUUUCUCCUUUUGUACAUAUUGUCUUUGUUAUUUCAAAGUAUUGAGUAAGAAAGCAAUAUUAAGGAGGAGGGUGAGGGUGAUAACCGAACCCAAAAUUUAUGUGUACUGUAAUCAGGCGGAUGUGUUGUCAUUUAUGAACAACCCCCCUGAUCUAAUUUUCUUUUAUUAAUCUAUAAUAAGUUUAAC
Molecule: unclassified non-coding RNA, 240 nt
Filed under: soil metagenome
Description: partial contains 5.8S ribosomal RNA, internal transcribed spacer 2, and large subunit ribosomal RNA
Source: RNAcentral